GCCUUAGUAGCUCAGUGGUAGAGCGUUUGCCUAGUAAUGAACUUGGCAGCAAAAGGUCCAGUGUUCGACUCACUGUUGAGGCA
RNAcentral lists this transfer RNA (83 nucleotides) under Melampsora larici-populina 98AG31. RNAcentral describes it as "tRNA-Thr for anticodon AGU". It matches the Rfam family "tRNA". Rfam says of the family: Transfer RNA (tRNA) molecules are approximately 80 nucleotides in length. Their secondary structure includes four short double-helical elements and three loops (D, anti-codon, and T loops). Further hydrogen bonds mediate the characteristic L-shaped molecular structure. tRNAs have two regions of fundamental functional importance: the anti-codon, which is responsible for specific mRNA codon recognition, and the 3' end, to which the tRNAs corresponding amino acid is attached (by aminoacyl-tRNA synthetases). tRNAs cope with the degeneracy of the genetic code in two manners: having more than one tRNA (with a specific anti-codon) for a particular amino acid; and 'wobble' base-pairing, i.e. permitting non-standard base-pairing at the 3rd anti-codon position. The record is from Rfam by way of RNAcentral. Lineage: Eukaryota; Fungi; Basidiomycota; Pucciniomycetes; Pucciniales; Melampsoraceae.